AACGAACGCUGGCGGCAGGCCUAACACAUGCAAGUCGAGCGAGACCUUCGGGUCUAGCGGCGGACGGGUGAGUAACGCGUGGGAACGUGCCCUUUUCUACGGAAUAGCCUCGGGAAACUGAGCGUAAUACCGUAUACGCCCUUUGGGGGAAAGAUUUAUCGGAGAAGGAUCGGCCCGCGUUGGAUUAGGUAGUUGGUGGGGUAAUGGCCUACCAAGCCUACGAUCCAUAGCUGGUUUGAGAGGAUGAUCAGCCACACCGGGACUGAGACACGGCCCAGACUCCUACGGGAGGCAGCAGUGGGGAAUCUUAGACAAUGGGGGCAACCCUGAUCUAGCCAUGCCGCGUGAGUGAUGAAGGCCUUAGGGUUGUAAAGCUCUUUCAGCUGGGAAGAUAAUGACGGUACCAGCAGAAGAAGCCCCGGCUAACUCCGUG
Molecule: ribosomal RNA, 433 nt
Filed under: uncultured bacterium
Lineage: Bacteria
Description: partial 16S ribosomal RNA
Rfam family: Bacterial small subunit ribosomal RNA
Source: RNAcentral